CUUGCGGCGUGCUUAACACAUGCAAGUCGAACGGAAAGGCCCUGCUUUUGUGGGGUGCUCGAGUGGCGAACGGGUGAGUAACACGUGAGUAACCUGCCCUUGACUUUGGGAUAACUUCAGGAAACUGGGGCUAAUACCGGAUAGGAGCUCCUGCUGCAUGGUGGGGGUUGGAAAGUUUCGGCGGUUGGGGAUGGACUCGCGGCUUAUCAGCUUGUUGGUGGGGUAGUGGCUUACCAAGGCUUUGACGGGUAGCCGGCCUGAGAGGGUGACCGGCCACAUUGGGACUGAGAUACGGCCCAGACUCCUACGGGAGGCAGCAGUGGGGAAUAUUGCACAAUGGGCGGAAGCCUGAUGCAGCAACGCCGCGUGCGGGAUGACGGCCUUCGGGUUGUAAACCGCUUUCGCCUGUGACGAAGCGUGAGUGACGGUAAUGGGUAAAGAAGCACCGGCUAACUACGUGCCAGCAGCCGCGGUGAUACGUAGGGUGCGAGCGUUGUCCGGAUUUAUUGGGCGUAAAGGGCUCGUAGGUGGUUGAUCGCGUCGGAAGUGUAAUCUUGGGGCUUAACCCUGAGCGUGCUUUCGAUACGGGUUGACUUGAGGAAGGUAGGGGAGAAUGGAAUUCCUGGUGGAGCGGUGGAAUGCGCAGAUAUCAGGAGGAACACCAGUGGCGAAGGCGGUUCUCUGGGCCUUUCCUGACGCUGAGGAGCGAAAGCGUGGGGAGCGAACAGGCUUAGAUACCCUGGUAGUCCACGCUGUAAACGGUGGGUACUAGGUGUGGGGUCCAUUCCACGGGUUCCGUGCCGUAGCUAACGCUUUAAGUACCCCGCCUGGGGAGUACGGCCGCAAGGCUAAAACUCAAAGGAAUUGACGGGGCCCCGCACAAGCGGCGGAGCAUGCGGAUUAAUUCGAUGCAACGCGUAGAACCUUACCUGGGUUUGACAUGGAUCGGGAGUGCUCAGAGAUGGGUGUGCCUCCUUUGGGGUCGGUUCACAGGUGGUGCAUGGCUGUCGUCAGCUCGUGUCGUGAGAUGUUGGGUUAAGUCCCGCAACGAGCGCAACCCUUGUUCACUGUUGCCAGCACGUUAUGGUGGGGACUCAGUGGAGACCGCCGGGGUCAACUCGGAGGAAGGUGGGGAUGACGUCAAGUCAUCAUGCCCCUUAUGUCCAGGGCUUCACGCAUGCUACAAUGGCUGGUACAGAGAGUGGCGAGCCUGUGAGGGUGAGCGAAUCUCGGAAAGCCGGUCUCAGUUCGGAUUGGGGUCUGCAACUCGACCUCAUGAAGUCGGAGUCGCUAGUAAUCGCAGAUCAGCAACGCUGCGGUGAAUACGUUCCCGGGGCUUGUACACACCGCCCGUCAAGUCAUGAAAGUUGGUAACACCCGAAGCCGGUGGCCUAACCGUUGUGGGGGAGCCGUCGAAGGUGGGACUGGUGAUUAGG
This 1436-nucleotide ribosomal RNA is filed under the name uncultured organism. RNAcentral's name for it is "partial small subunit ribosomal RNA". It matches the Rfam family "Bacterial small subunit ribosomal RNA". The record is from RNAcentral.